Molecule: long non-coding RNA, 843 nt
Organism: Motacilla alba alba
Lineage: Eukaryota; Metazoa; Chordata; Aves; Passeriformes; Motacillidae
Exons: 4
Source: RefSeq, a predicted model, not a curated record
CAACACCAGGGUGGAACAAGACUGUGGAACAGGAACUAUCUAAGUCAGGACCACAAUUCAGGCACUGAAGGAGCAAAACUGCAACCCACCCAAUGCAAUUCCUGUAAACACAAUGUGCCAAGGUUUCCAACAAGCACCAGCUCUGGUAACCACAAUCAUUCCAAUCAUUCCCAUUGCAUGCCUUACUGAAACUGGCCAGAAUGGUUUUGGACAACUGGACAGCCCCUGGUCUUUCUGAGGAAGGAAAAAGCAGCUCAGCUGAGAUGCGCCAAGCUGCUUGUAAACCACGAGGGCCGUUGUUAAAUUGUCGGGUGUUCCUGAACCUCUGAAGAUUGCUGUGCUCCACCUUUCAGCGUUUAGCUGAGUACAUCGUCUCCAAGACCUUUCACCAAGCAUCCAUCAGCAAGGAGUUCAAGCUAAGCAAGACAUUACCCCGUUCCAGAGGCUGAGCAAAUCACAUGCCCACCCUGUAACUAAUUAUUUCUAUUGGCUGAUUGGUUUUUAAUGCAUCUGUUUUACAGGUAAACAGAUUUAUCUUAGGAAGGCAUAGGUAAUAAUGAUGCUGGGGGUUUUUUUAUUCAUUGCCUUCCAUCAGAGACUGAAGGGCUGGAUGCUGGAAUAGGUGUCAUUUAGCUGUACAGUCCCUUGAUUUUUGUACCAAGGCAGAAUGGGCAUCUGGGAUUGCUGGGCAAGAUUGGGAAAGCCUGAAAAACUUGUGGAGCCUUCUAACGAGACUCCAUAAAUGGAUGACAUUAACCAUUAACAUGUGGUUUCCAACCCCAGCUCCUCAUCAACCUUCCUUUUAUAAACAGAACUUUUUGUCAGAUUCCCUAGAGAAGCCAA